AUCGAUGCGUUUUUGUAAGAAACAUAUCCAUAUUCAAAAUGUAAUAAUCAAUUUAAUCUAGAUUGCGCUCACUGUGGUAAACGGAAGCAGUUCCGGGAGCAUGUCCUAUGAGUUCAGCGUUGCGCAUGCCCCGGUGAGUCUCGUGAAAACCAAUGUUUGUUAACAGGAGCAAAGGAAGCAGUUUCCUUACUUUAGCAAAGGAAAACCACUUGGGUUAUAUUGAAAUCCUCUGACGUUUUUCUUUACAAAUCCUCAUUUUGUACUUCAAAUUCGUGAUCGUUGUUUUGUUUUGAUCUCUCUGCUGCGUUUCCGCAUGCGUCACUUCUGAGCAGCACAUGCACAAAGCUGACCUCAUACAUCAUUCCCCCGGAACUGCUUCUGUUUACAACACAAUGCAACACCCGCUGACUGGCAUUAAACCACUUGAAAGAUCAAAGAUUAUUUUUUAUAUAACUCCGACUGGAUUCGUCUGAGAGAAGAAAGUCAUAUACACCUAGGAUGACUUGAGGGUCCCUCGGUCAUGCUCUGUACAUAUGGUUGUCUUCUGUACAUUGUUCUGGGGAUUAUAUUAUAGGGAUCCUACAGCUCAAAACGUAUAGCUUAUGUAAAAGGUACAGCACCGUUCAUCUAUUUGGAGCUAUACAUUAAUAUAUACCAAAAACUUCCUUUAGACAAACAAACACAUUUUUCACAUUAGAUUUGAUCUAUUUCUUACAAAUGGAUAUUUUAAAAUCAUAAACACAAACAAUUUUUAAAAACUACCCAUAAGGAUGAUAUCCAGGCCAUUUUGAUUUAUUAUUGCAACAUUCGGUUUUUCUUAAAAAAUGUGUUUGCAUUUGUUGGAUUGGAUAUAUAUCCAAUAUGUUUCCAUUGUGUUACUUUAUAUAUUUAGAUUAUAAGUGCCUACAUGCAUUCAUAAACAUAAGAUAUCUCUUGGCAUCUUUUUAUGACUUUAAUUAUGGAAUAUUAUCUCUAGGAUAGACAUUUUUUUGUUAUCUGUUACCAGUCAGAAUGAAUCUUUCAGAUUCACUUACUGACUACUUUAACUGCACAUGAUGUUGCAUACUGAAAUUAUAAAUGUUUGGAGUGUAGAGACAGUGUUUGUUUCUGGUUCACUCAUACAUUUCAAACUUAUCACCAAAACCUCUGUUAAUUUUUUCCAGUUCCAAUGUGUCCAGGUGCAGUGGCUUUUUUUUUUUUUUCAAAUGUAUAAAUAAACGUUUACUGGAGUAUAUUUUACAAGACAAUACUAUUUAAGUCUUAAAAGAAUGAAUGUUUAAUUCAAUGUUUGUAAUUAUUUGUGCAAUUUAAUAGUAAUUUUUGAAUGAAAGUGUUUUAAAGUAUAUCCGACACUAUUUUUUUUUUCGCAGUGUGUGAAAAAAAAUGCAAAUGCAUU
Molecule: long non-coding RNA, 1396 nt
Organism: Cyprinus carpio carpio
Lineage: Eukaryota; Metazoa; Chordata; Actinopteri; Cypriniformes; Cyprinidae
Source: Ensembl